Molecule: ribosomal RNA, 332 nt
Filed under: Dehalococcoidales bacterium
Lineage: Bacteria; Bacillati; Chloroflexota; Dehalococcoidia; Dehalococcoidales
Description: bacterial SSU rRNA
Rfam family: Bacterial small subunit ribosomal RNA
Source: RNAcentral
UUUUUGGAGAGUUUGAUCCCGGCUCAGGAUAAACGCUGGCGGUGUGCUUUAUGCAUGCAAGUCGAACGAACCGUUUCGGCGGUUAGUGGCGGACGGGUGAGUAACACGUAAGUAACCUGUCCUUAAGUGGGGAAUAGCUCUGAGAAAUCGGAAUUAAUACCGCAUGUGGUGAUGGUGGUAAAGCGUCAUCACUAAAGGCUUCGGCCGCUUGAGGAGGGGCUUGCGCACGAUUAGCUAGUUGGUGAGGUAACGGCCUACCAAGGCGACGAUCGUUAGCUGGUUUGAGAGGACGACCAGCCACACUGGAACUGAGACACGGUCCAGACUCCUAC